GGGAGUGAUUUGGCUUCGAUUGGAGUAGCAAGGGUUAGUUGCAUGUCGAUUUGAAUAUAUCGUAAAACUAUUCAACAGUUUUUAAACGCAAACAAUACAAAUUAUACUCCUGCUUACGCUAAAGCUGCGUAAGUUUAACAACUUGGAGGCUGCUAUUUGCUAAUUCUAUCUAGGUAGAUGUGCGGCUAAACAAAAGAUAGAUUUUUCUCUUAGUUGAUCGGCUAUUAGAAGAAAUUUAGAUCUUAGCUAUGGGGUGUUUUUGGGAAUUGUACUACCUUAAUAGCGAAUUUUAACAAUUCCAUCUAAACAUGUAGACGCUAAUUUGAGUUAUUUUAAGACACGGGUUCGACCCCCGUCACUUCCACCA
RNAcentral lists this transfer-messenger RNA (367 nucleotides) under Aliarcobacter butzleri. It matches the Rfam family "transfer-messenger RNA". Rfam says of the family: Bacterial tmRNA, also known as 10Sa RNA or SsrA, is named for its dual tRNA and mRNA-like properties. RNAcentral also lists the same sequence under 2 other names. Lineage: Bacteria; Pseudomonadati; Campylobacterota; Epsilonproteobacteria; Campylobacterales; Arcobacteraceae. The record is from RNAcentral.